RNA transcript from Struthio camelus australis, 5190 nucleotides. It is a transcript of the gene named transport and golgi organization 2 homolog, with no coding region annotated. The record is from RefSeq and is a predicted model, not a curated record. NCBI's taxonomy places the organism in Eukaryota, Metazoa, Chordata, Aves, Struthioniformes, Struthionidae.
CCGACAGAGCAGCCUGCACGCGGCUGAGAAGGCCGCGCGGCUCUGCCGCUGCUGCCAGGAUGGAUGCCGCCCGCUCCCUCCAGGAGCCCUGCGCUGACGGCUAUUACAGAAUGCCCUUGCACUGAGCUUUUCUGGAAGAAGCAAGAAUUAACUAGCAAUCCCUCAAUGUGCAUCCUUCUAUUCAAAUUUGACCCUCGACCAGUUUCAAAAAAUGCAUACAGGCUUAUUCUAGCAGCUAAUAGAGAUGAAUUUUACCACAGACCAUCUAAAUCAGCAGAUUUUUGGGACAGCAGCAAUGAAAUCCUUAGUGGUCUGGAUAUGGAGGAAGGAAAAGAAGGUGGGACAUGGCUAGGAAUCAGUAAGAAAGGCAAGAUGGCAGCCCUGACCAACUAUAUGCAGCCAAAGAUUGACAAAAAUGCAAAAGGGAGAGGUGCUCUUGUAGCAAACUUCCUGACUUCAGAUCUGGACAGCUAUUCUUACUUGAAGAACGUUUCAGUAGAAGGACAUCUUUACAAUGGAUUUAACUUGAUAGCGGCUGACUUGAAUACCACCAAAGGAGAUGUAAUUUGCUACUAUGGAAACAAAGGAGAACCAGAACCUGUUUUCCUAAAUCCUGGAACGUAUGGAUUGAGUAAUUCUUUGUUGGAUACACCAUGGAAGAAAGUUCAAUAUGGGAAGCAGCUUUUCACAGAAGUGAUCAAGAGAAGUCAAGACCUUACCAAAGAAGACUUGGUGCAGGAGCUCCUUACAGUGAUGAAUAAUCAAGAACCUCAAUUGCCAGACCCUGCCAUUGAAGACCAAGGGAGGGAUUACAUACGUCCUAUAUUAAACAAAUAUGCAGCUGUGUGUGUUCGAUGCCCUGGUUAUGGAACAAGGACUAACACAGUCAUUCUCAUUGAUUCAGAAGGAGAGGUUACUUUCACAGAGCGCAACAUGAUCAAUGCAGAUGUCAACCAGUGGAAAACAAGCACCUAUGAAUUCAAACUACAGAUUUAACAACUUUCCAUUUGAAUGGGAUGUAAUAAAAGCAAUGAGAGAACAAGCUAUUAUACUCCAGUCCAUGUUUUGUGCCAGGCUCCAGAAGCAAGAAAUAGCAAGGAAAGCAAAAGUUUAUUUACACCAGUAGCAUACCCUAUCAGGUUCCCAAAUACUUUGCAUAAAACCAAGAAAGGAAACUAUUUUUACACUACAUAAUGACUUACGUAAAAAAUACUUCUGAAUGUGUGACUUUUUGGUUUAGCUUCCUAGCUCGAACUUGUAAGUACCAAUGAAAUUAGCAGUAUCAAUACUUUUGGGUGUGAUUCAGUGACAUUCUUGCAUACCAUUAAUUUCUUUUGACUUCAGCUGGAGCUGAAGAUGUAUGUAGCUUCUUGGAGAAUCUGUGUUAAGCUGUGUUUCAGAAUGUAUUUCUAUCUACAAAUUACUGAUUUUUCUUUUGCGUGUAGAGGAUAAGGGAAAUCAGCUCGACAGUUCUAUAUAGCCAUUUCUAAUUACUUUGUGUACUGAAACAACCAUAUAAUAUGAUGACUUGAGCCAGUGUCUAGAAGUUGUGGAAAAUAGGGUCAGAAAGGAUCAUGAAGCUGUCUAUUCUAUUGCUCUGCCUCCAAGGCAAGGCUGUUUUUCCUCAAGGCAGAAGUCAUUGCUUCUUUCUUUAAAGUUGUUCUAAAGAGACUCUUAAACAUGUCCCAGUGCAGAGAAGGGGAGAUAGAACAAUAAAAGCAGCAAAUAUAUCUGAAGAUUUUACAAAAUUUUGUUUUCUCCAACAUACAACUUUAGGAUUGUGCGGUAAAUGAAUGUAUGUUAUCUUUGCAGCAUUAAAUGCUUUAGUAAUGUUUAAACUUUUCAGCUAUGUCACGGUGCGAUGUUCUGCCUUGGGGGAGGGAAAGAUUCUUUGUUUGUUUUACCUAUAAAUAGCACAGCAAUAUAUCUUUUUUUCUAAAACUUGAUUUGAGAGUAGAUAUGAAAUUGAAGUUCAGUGUCUGUUCAGUUUUAUUCAGUAGAAACUAAAAAAUCAUGGAAGUAGAUGUGUUUAUUUUUGAAGGGAAUAGAAUGGUCUGUAUUGUGACAUCUUGUUUUCUGGUAAUCUAACUAGCAAUAUUAGUUUUCUUUUUUCUUCCCCAGCUGGCAGAUAAGGACUAGAUAUCUAUUUGCAAAGAGAAACUGAAUAUGAAGUUUACAUAUAUCAGGCUUUUCCGUUAGUAAACAAUGUACUGACUGGAGCAUUCCCAGACCAAGAGUCAUAGUGAUCAAUCCUUUGAAUUAGCCUUUGAAUCCUACUUCUGAUGAUCAAUAGGUGUCCCCUACCUCCCUGCCCACAGGCAAGUGUCCUCUUCUCACUGCCUCUGACUGGAUCCAUUCCAAGCAGAGCCAGACUAGGUAGAAAACAAGCUGUCAAGCAUAUAGUGUCUGAAACAGUGUCUCACGCAUCCCUUUCCUGCCGUGACCUCAAGGUACUCAAGAAUCUGCCUUCUCCCUUGCAGACAAGGGUGGAUCCUUCAAAAUUUAAAAGCUUGCUUGGCGCUCAUUGAGGUAUUAAAGGAAGAGAAGCUGGCAUAUUCUUGCCUGUAAAAUGAUGGAGCCGUUUUUUUAGCUUUACACAGCAUCCUUCUCAAACUGACAGUUACUUAGAGAAGACCAGCCACUGGACUUGUCCUGGACUCAUUGUUAAGUUGGCAACCCAACUAAAACCUGCAGGAACUCCCAAAACGCAAUAAGAGAAGAUUAUUAAUGAAUAGACCUCUAAAGUUGUCACUGCCGGUUCUUCCCUAUGCAGCGAGAAAUGUUUGAUCUGGAUCACUGGUCUUGAAACCAGGGGUACGCAUCAAGAAAUGCUGGUGGCAAGCAAAGAUGAUAACUGGGGACCUUUAAAAAUGAGUUUAAUGAUAAAUAUAUGUCAAAAGUACUUGGCGGUGUUCAGGUUCAAAGGAAAGCAGAAAUAAUCACAGCAGCGAUGCAACAAAUAAUGUGAAGAGCAAAAGCAGUGCUUCCUUAGUGAAAAGCAGACAAAAUGCUAUACGAGAAUUCUUUCCCUUCAAUAGCAUUAAGUUCAUCAAAUUUGGGAUCUUAGGCAGACCUGAGACUUUUUUAUUACGCUAAGCUGAGACUACCUUAUUGUUCUGCAUACCUGGAAAUUUGUGGAGAUGUAGUUGUCUUGUCUCACUGACUGUUUUCAGUAGUUUUACUUAAAGAAAAACUUAGUGCAGAGAAGGAAGUAGUCCUUUAGGUUUCCUAGUAUGAUCAGGAUUUAACUGACAUUUAUUAUUAAAAAUUGCAUAUACCAAACUGAAUAUUGACACAAAAUGCUAGAACAACUUUGAAUAUUAUUUUCAAGUUAUAAGGAAAUAAGUCAUUUCAAAAUCCUUGAAAUACAAAGCAAUAGUAAGACAAUAAUGAAGCAUCUUACACUUCACAUUUAGCCUAAAGAAGUUGAAUAACGUGCAUUUAUGGCUUAACAUCCUUAUUUAUAUGGAAUGCUAACUAAUAGGAAUUAGUUCCAUAUCAUCCAGAUUCGUGUAACAGAACAUUACUUGUGUUCUGAUUCAUUUUCCACAGAGAAGUCUUCAGCUUUAGGAAUUGCUCUUAACUUGGUGAGAAUAGAAUAGGUAUAGUACUCAACUGUAAAAGCAAUAACUGAGUUGCACAACCCAUCAGUGUGACUCAUGCUGUGAAAUUUAAGUUAAGAUGAGCAGAGUGAAGAAAAUGUUGAAUAUAGCUCACUUUAAUAUGAAUAUAUUAAGUUACUAUCUCUGGAACAUUCUGCAUCAAGAACUAAAACUGAAAAAGCAGUAUCACAUUAAAGUACUCAAAUCUACUGUCUUUUAAAGUACGAGAUAAGGACUGAACGUAGCACUAAAGAUUAUGCAUGAGAGAGAAAAACGUUUAAUGCAGACUUUGAUAUUAAGUAGGCUAGGCAAGAAUUGGAACCUAUUUAAGGCGGUCAUAGGCAAUAUGAAGGAGAGUAAAAAAGCAAGCUAUCUACUGAUUCGCAUACAAUUUUGGUGUCUCUGCACUAGAAAGAUAAAUAGAGUAAAACAAAUACAAACUAAAAACAGAUCAGUAGUUGGAGAAAUAAAGUAUGGGAGAAGGCUGUACUUAAUUUAGCAGAGAACAAAUAUAAUGAAGAAAAUCUGUUACAUUGAAAGACGUUCUGAAGAUGAUCUGUUAGAGCUUGAGUGGAAAUGGAGCGGCUAUUCUACCAGUAGACGAAGAUGGAUAGCAUAGCUCUAGGAUGUCUGGACAACAUUAGGAAUAUUGAUACUUUACUGAGAUCUUUAAACAGGAAGUGUUGUGUGGCUUGUCGCAACUACUAUUAUACUUUUUAUAUCUAAGAAAACUGGCAAAGAAUUCAGAUUAAUCUUUAAAAUGGGAUAUCUGCUUUAAUGUACUUUGCAUUCAGCUGUGCCGAAGGGUCACUUUAGAUAACAAUUCUGUAAUGUAUAGCUAGAGUGUGUGUGUUUUAAGUGGUUGUAAGUAGGACUGCAAAGCUGAAGAAACUUUUAUACUGACUUCAGUUUCGGGCGUUAGGUUUAAAAGGUGAGUAAAAAAAGAAUCGUAAUAAUCUGUAUAUCUUUGAUAAAAUGACACUGUUUAUUCAGUAUGUAUUUCAUUUUCAGAUAACUGUUUUAUCUUUUCUUUGCAUAUUUACUAAAUAUCAACCUGAACUAUCACAAUAUUUCUUAAUGUUAAAGUUUCAACAGCAAAACCUUGAUUUUUGUGAAAACAUAAUAAAAAUGCAAGUGAAGCCCUGAUUUUUCUCCUAAAGACUUUGAUCUGGCAUUCAUUGAGGUAUUCUUUCAAUAAACCUCCCCCCAAAGCCUCCACACAGAUAACUUCCACUGAAGUUAAAAUAAUUAGAUGGGCAUGGGAUCUGAAGUUCAUUAAAUUAUUUUGAAUAGCAUAGAAAUAGCUAUUCUGGAAGUAAUUUAUGUAGGAUACAUCUUAUCUACUAAAAUAUGAAAUGUAAUGUGUUUUAGGGGUCUAAUGAUAAUACUGUGUACUUGGUCUAUGCAGUUGCAAUUAUGUAGUAGUGACUUGGGAAAGAAUUCAAACAUAUGUAUAAGCUAGCUUUUAAGUGAGCACUUGGAAGCGUUCUUUGUCCUCAUUCAGCUUACUAUUAAUUAAUGAGACUUUGGCUUAUUCUUGAUAGUCGGUAUGUGCUUAAAUAUUCUCAGUAAAAUGUUCUGAAUCUGA